AUUGAACGCUGGCGGCAGGCCUAACACAUGCAAGUCGAGCGGAUGAAGGGAGCUUGCUCCUGGAUUCAGCGGCGGACGGGUGAGUAAUGCCUAGGAAUCUGCCUGGUAGUGGGGGAUAACGUCCGGAAACGGGCGCUAAUACCGCAUACGUCCUGAGGGAGAAAGUGGGGGAUCUUCGGACCUCACGCUAUCAGAUGAGCCUAGGUCGGAUUAGCUAGUUGGUGGGGUAAAGGCCUACCAAGGCGACGAUCCGUAACUGGUCUGAGAGGAUGAUCAGUCACACUGGAACUGAGACACGGUCCAGACUCCUACGGGAGGCAGCAGUAGGGAAUAUUGGGCAAUGGGCGAAAGCCUGAUCCAGCCAUGCCGCGUGUGUGAAGAAGGUCUUCGGAUUGUAAAGCACUUUUAGUUGGGAGGAAGAGCAGUAAGUUAAUACCUUGCUGUUUUGACGUUACCAACAGAAUAAGCACCGGCUAACUUCGUG
RNAcentral lists this ribosomal RNA (484 nucleotides) under uncultured bacterium. RNAcentral's name for it is "partial 16S ribosomal RNA". It matches the Rfam family "Bacterial small subunit ribosomal RNA", at positions 30 to 507 of the family's 1533-position model. The record is from RNAcentral.